This 473-nucleotide long non-coding RNA is filed under the name Gopherus agassizii (Agassiz's desert tortoise). Its description in RNAcentral is "lncRNA (ENSGAGG00000004890.1)". Lineage: Eukaryota; Metazoa; Chordata; Testudines; Testudinidae. The record is from RNAcentral.
CUAGAGAAGAGUGUGAAUCUUUCCAGAGGGAUGGAACAAAGCUAUUUAUUAUUACUUAUUUGUGUUACAGCAGUACCUAAGGACUCCAGCUGAAAUCGAGGCCCCUUUGUCUAGGCUUGGUACAAACAUACAGGAAGAGAGAGUCCCUGCUGAAGACAAAGGGUUGUGGGGAAGGGGAUAUGACCUACAACAGAGUGAACAAAUCUACAAAUGUCAUUAGGUUUACAGGUUCAGCUUCCAAUUAGGAUCCAGAAGCUUGAAUUCUUCUCUGACAGGCAUAUGAACUCUUUGAUUUGGAAAUCAGGCUGGAGGAAACCUCAAGACAACAAACCUUUGUGUGAUUUCAAAUACCGCAACAACAUGCCAAAAACUGGACAGAAUGAAGACUGACACAAUUGGUUGGACUCAUAGGAACUUUAGUCUCUUGCUUUGUUCAUUUUACAGGUUAGUGUCUCUAUAUAUAACAUAUGGUA